This 270-nucleotide ribosomal RNA is filed under the name unidentified soil organism R6-121. RNAcentral's name for it is "partial 16S ribosomal RNA". It matches the Rfam family "Bacterial small subunit ribosomal RNA", at positions 505 to 774 of the family's 1533-position model. The record is from RNAcentral.
GUGCCAGCAGCCGCGGUAAUACGUAGGGACCAAGCGUUGUUCGGAUUUACUGGGCGUAAAGGGCGCGUAGGCGGCGCGGUAAGUCACUUGUGAAAUCUCUGAGCUUAACUCAGAACGGGCAAGUGAUACUGCAGUGCUAGAGUGUGGAAGGGGCAAUCGGAAUUCUUGGUGUAGCGGUGAAAUGCGUAGAUAUCAAGAGGAACACCUGAGGUGAAGACGGGUUGCUGGGNCAACACUGACGCUGAGGCGCGAAAGCCAGGGGAGCAAACG